UGUGUAAGCUGGAGGGUGCCUGGGCUGUUCACAGAGAGCCCUCACGGCUGGCAGAAGGCAUCCCUGACUACAUUGCCAUUGAUGCCAUCGGGGUGGUCCCUGCAGGCCAUGCAUGGUCUGCACACGGAGAGCUGGGCUUUCUUUGCCAACUUAUUGCAAAUUCCCACCACAUCUGGUGUCUGCACAGAGAGGUGGCAUGCUAGAUCCUGACGUCGCAGGAACAGGGGCAGGGGCCAUGGCAGUAAGAGAAAAUUUGACAGAAGAAGCCUAAAGGAGGGGAGGGUUUGUCCGGGCUCCCGGUCUGUGAAAGUUUUAUUCGUCAACAGUGGAGAACACACGGCAAAGUUGAAAGUCGCCGGAGUGUGUGGCCAGGACUCCUCAGUCUCCGCAGAAUAGAAACGUACCUCAGGCUAGGACAUGCUGGUGCUAUGACCCAUGAAACGGCCCUACAUCUGGCAGCUAGACGCCUCACCAUGCCCAAAAGGUUCAGCAACCUCUCAGAAAAGUGUCCGCAGCUGGGAAGCUUACGGCACAGUACCCAAACAGCGGUGGUAGCAUCCGGUUAGCUUCUGACAGUUAGAGAGGAAGUAGAACUCUUAUGCUCCAGGCUUGCCUGCAUCCCCUGAAGACAUCCAAGGACUCAGGCCUCUCUAGAGCACUGGGGAUGUGGAGACCCUGGAGCUUCACAACCAGCUAACCUAGUCGAGCCGGUAAGCUCUGGAUCCAGAGAGACCCCGUCUCAAAAACUAAGAUGGAGAGUGCUCGAGAAAGACAUCCCGUGACAACAUCUGGCCUCCACAUGUCCGUGAACACACAUGGGUCUGUAAACCUGCACACACAGGACUAAGAAAAAGAAAGUCACAUAAAUUCAGACCUCACAUAUAGAGCUGAAUGACAAGCACCAGUAUCCAUGCAUGCCCAGAGGCACACACGUAUGCACACACAUGAACACACAUGGGUCUGUAAAUUUGCACGUACAGGACUAAGAAGAAGAGAGCCACAUAUAUUCACAUAUAGAGCUGAAUGACAAGCACCAAUAUCCAUGCAUGCCCACAGGCGCACACGUAUGCACACACAUAAACACACACACACCAUCUGAACACAGCAGCAGCUUCUGUCCCUGGCAAGCAUGCACUAUAGCUCUGCUAUGCCCUCUGAACACUUCUCCCAUUUGGGUGUGGGCUCAGGAAUUCCCCACUUUGCUUGGCUCAGCUUAGAAGUUUCUGGAAUUUACAUAUCCUAACCAAAGUUACUGCUGGACUUCCUGCUUGGAGUUUUCCAGGGCACACAGGUCCAUCAUGACACCAGCCCUUGAUCCUCCCUGGGUAUCCCAGAGACCCUUGAUGAGGUCUGAGGCUCACCAGCAUCUGGUCAACCUCACCAGUGUCACAAAGGAAUGUUCUAGUGGCAGCCAAGAUCUCACCUGCCCUGUUAGGUUUCCUCUCCUGCACAGAGAGUUCUCUCCUUUGUCCUCACACUAAGCCCUGUUCACACCUCUGCCGACAGUUCAGUCUCUUUCC
Long non-coding RNA from Alexandromys fortis (reed vole), 1520 nucleotides. RefSeq lists it as uncharacterized. The record is from RefSeq and is a predicted model, not a curated record. Lineage: Eukaryota; Metazoa; Chordata; Mammalia; Rodentia; Cricetidae. The transcript has 3 exons.